Molecule: long non-coding RNA, 609 nt
Organism: Phacochoerus africanus (Common warthog)
Lineage: Eukaryota; Metazoa; Chordata; Mammalia; Artiodactyla; Suidae
Exons: 3
Source: RefSeq, a predicted model, not a curated record
CCUCAGGGAAGAGCCCGGGACAGAGAGAAUCUGACAGGGUCCUGGCAAGACGGCCCACAUGUACAUCCCUUCCGGGGCCUCCCAUGUCCCGUAUGGGUUGCCACGAGGACCAUGGGGACCGAGGAAGGGUAAUUUUAUGUUCACUCCUGGAAAUGACAGUGAGAGAGCCUCCAGGUUGAGGGAGCAGCCGUGCAAAGGCCCUGAGCAUGCCCCCCACCGGACCCCAUCAUGGAGCAGCAGCCACAUGGCCCAAGCGGAAGGCGCCUCCUCACCGGCCAGCACCCCGUUUGCACGUCACUUGCCCGGAUCUUGGAAGAAGGUACAGGUUUGAACUGAGGCAUCAGCUCAGCCCUCAGAAGAAGCUGUUGUCCCUGAAUUGCCACCCUGGGUCUCAACUGGGGUGCUUGUGCCCUGCCCCCGCGCAAGGAAACACUGGCAAUAUCUAGAGACGCUGUGGGUUGUCACGACCGGGUGGGGGGUGUCGCUGCUGGCAUCUGGCGGGUAGAGACCCGGGCGGGGCAGGGGGAAGACCGCCCCAUGUCCUGCACUGCACAGCGCAGCUCCCAUAGCAGAGGACGACCCAGUUCAGAGCAGCCAGGCUGAGCGCCU